GCAUUAUCGGGAGCAGUGUUUUCCAUAAUGU
Non-coding RNA from Xiphophorus maculatus (southern platyfish), 31 nucleotides. The record is from Rfam. Lineage: Eukaryota; Metazoa; Chordata; Actinopteri; Cyprinodontiformes; Poeciliidae.